Molecule: ribosomal RNA, 749 nt
Filed under: uncultured bacterium
Lineage: Bacteria
Description: bacterial SSU rRNA
Rfam family: Bacterial small subunit ribosomal RNA
Source: RNAcentral
AGUGAACGCUGGCGGCAGGCCUAACACAUGCAAGUCGAACGGCAGCACAGCAGUAGCAAUACUGUGGGUGGCGAGUGGCGGACGGGUGAGGAAUACAUCGGAAUCUGCCCAGUCGUGGGGGACAACCAGCCGAAAGGUUGGCUAAUACCGCAUGCGACCGGAAGGUGAAAGCGGGGGACCCCUUAAAAGGCCUCGCGCGAUUGGAUGAGCCGAUGUCGGAUUAGCUAGUUGGUAGGGUAAAGGCCUACCAAGGCGACGAUCCGUAGCUGGUCUGAGAGGAUGAUCAGCCACACUGGAACUGAGACACGGUCCAGACUCCUACGGGAGGCAGCAGUGGGGAAUAUUGGACAAUGGGCGCAAGCCUGAUCCAGCAAUGCCGCGUGUGUGAAGAAGGCCUUCGGGUUGUAAAGCCCUUUUGUCCGGAACGAAAAGCGCCAGGUUAAUAACCUGUCGUGCUGACGGUACCGGUUGAAUAAGCACCGGCUAACUUCGUGCCAGCGGCCGCGGUAAUACGAAGGGUGCAAGCGUUAAUCGGAAUUACUGGGCGUAAAGGGUGCGUAGACGGUUUGUUAAGUCGGAUGCGAAAGCCCCGGGCUCAACCUGGGAACUGCAUCUGAUACUGGCAGGCUAGAGUGUGAUAGAGGAUGGUGGAAUUCCCGGUGUAGCGGUGAAAUGCGUAGAGAUCGGGAGGAACAUCUGUGGCGAAGGCGGCCAUCUGGAUCAACACUGACGUUGAGGCACAGGCACGA